Molecule: ribosomal RNA, 836 nt
Filed under: Ceratocystis diversiconidia
Lineage: Eukaryota; Fungi; Ascomycota; Sordariomycetes; Microascales; Ceratocystidaceae
Description: eukaryotic LSU rRNA
Rfam family: Eukaryotic large subunit ribosomal RNA
Source: RNAcentral
UGCCCUAGUAACGGCGAGUGAAGCGGCAACAGCUCAAAUUUGAAAUCUGGCUACAUUCCGUGGUCCGAGUUGUAAUUUGUAGAGGAUGCUUUUGGUGAGGUGCCUUCCGAGUUCCCUGGAACGGGACGCCAUAGAGGGUGAGAGCCCCGUACGGUUGGAUACCAAGCCUCUGUAUAGCUCCUUCAACGAGUCGAGUAGUUUGGGAAUGCUGCUCUAAAUGGGAGGUAUAUCUCUUCUAAAGCUAAAUAUAGGCUAGAGACCGAUAGCGCACAAGUAGAGUGAUCGAAAGAUGAAAAGCACUUUGAAAAGAGAGUUAAACAGCACGUGAAAUUGUUGAAAGGGAAGCGCCUAUGACCAGACUUGUUUCUGGCAGUUUCGUUAGCCCUCGGGCUGAUUUACUCUGUCCAGUACAGGCCAGCAUCAGUUUGCUGUCGGGGAGAAAGGCUCUGGGAACGUAGCUCCCCCCUUCUGGGGGGGAGUGUUAUAGCCCUCUGCAUAAUACCCUUCGGCAGACUGAGGACCGCGCUUCGGCAAGGAUGCUGGCGUAAUGGUCAUCAGCGACCCGUCUUGAAACACGGACCAAGGAGUCAACCUUAUGUGCGAGUGUUUGGGUGUAAAACCCCAGCGCGUAAUGAAAGUGAACGUAGGUGAGAGCUUCGGCGCAUCAUCGACCGAUUCUGAUGUUUUCGGAUGGAUUUGAGUAAGAGCACACAGGGUUGGACCCGAAAGAAGGUGAACUAUGCUUGUAUAGGGUGAAGCCAGAGGAAACUCUGGUGGAGGCUCGCAGCGGUUCUGACGUGCAAAUCGAUCGUCAAAUAUGAGCAUGGGGGCGAAAG